RNAcentral lists this microRNA precursor (83 nucleotides) under Heliconius melpomene (postman butterfly). RNAcentral's name for it is "mir-998 microRNA precursor family". It matches the Rfam family "mir-998 microRNA precursor family". The record is from Rfam by way of RNAcentral. Lineage: Eukaryota; Metazoa; Arthropoda; Insecta; Lepidoptera; Nymphalidae.
CACGGGGCGUCCCCGAGCUACAUCCCGUGGGGCUCCAGUCUGUGCGUGUAGCACCAUGGGAUUCAGCUCAGGGCGGCCGCGAC